Molecule: non-coding RNA, 115 nt
Organism: Acanthosepion pharaonis
Lineage: Eukaryota; Metazoa; Mollusca; Cephalopoda; Sepiida; Sepiidae
Source: the annotation of a GenBank genome assembly
UACGGUCACGUCACGUUGAAAAAACCGGUUCCGUUACGAUCACCGAAGUUAAGCAACGUCUAAGUCUGGUCAGUACUUAGAUGGGUAACCGCUUGGGAAUUCCAAGUGCAGUAAG